RNAcentral lists this ribosomal RNA (253 nucleotides) under uncultured bacterium. Its description in RNAcentral is "partial 16S ribosomal RNA". It matches the Rfam family "Bacterial small subunit ribosomal RNA", at positions 524 to 776 of the family's 1533-position model. The record is from RNAcentral.
UACGUAGGGAGCAAGCGUUAUCCGGAUUUAUUGGGUGUAAAGGGUGCGUAGACGGGGAAAUAAGUUAGUUGUGAAAUCCCUCGGCUUAACUGAGGAUCUGCAACUAAAACUGUAACUCUUGAGUGCUGGAGAGGAAAGUGGAAUUCCUAGUGUAGCGGUGAAAUGCGUAGAUAUUAGGAGGAACACCAGUGGCGAAGGCGACUUUCUGGACAGUAACUGACGUUGAGGCACGAAAGUGUGGGGAGCAAACAGG